Symphalangus syndactylus (siamang) is the source of this 972-nucleotide long non-coding RNA. RefSeq lists it as uncharacterized. Lineage: Eukaryota; Metazoa; Chordata; Mammalia; Primates; Hylobatidae. The record is from RefSeq and is a predicted model, not a curated record.
AUCUCAGUGCAGAUUUGACCUCCCUGGCUCAAGCAAUCCUCCUGCCUCAGCAUCUUAAGUAGCUACGAAAGUUAGUCUGACUCUCUUCUCAAAAGAAGGAAUGUAUGCUGUGCACCUCAAUCCUGUUUGUGCCAUGGUAUUAUCUCAGCAAGAAGAAAGGCAGGUUUACAGAGAAACAUGGCAUGGAGAAAGUAGAGAGUUAAGUGUAACCAGUGUUGGGAUCUUGGCCAAAUGAGUCUAACAAGCUUUCAAGAUGGCAAUGAUGUUGAGUGUCUUUGAUUGGAAGAAGAAGAGAUUUUGGAGUAGCAAUGGAAUAAUGACUGGAAACUGCAAGAGAUUAAACAGCCUUUGGAAAAGUAUAACAGUAAGAUAAAUCUGACACAGCUGACUCCAUCUUGCCUCUAGCCUCACAGGCUGGCUGUCUUUGCUCAUUUCUGGGCAUGGACCAAGCUCACUUUGGGAAAAGUUUAGUUUAUGGUUUAAAUGAUAAUAGCUCUUCCCCAAACCUAAACUGCUCUUGUAAACCUAAUGAAAGACCAUCAAGGAAGGAGGAUGAGAGGGGCAUGAGCUCUAAAUAAUUACCAGCCAUUUUUCCAGAGGUAAUAACAUUUGCAACUUCCCCAAUCACUCUUGCAGAUAACAUUACUAUUAUAGAACCUAAGAUUGGCCUUUUGAGAUGUCUUUUCAGGUUUUUGCAUUUCUGACAACCAGAUGACCCCACCUGGACCCACCAACCAGUCCUGUCAUCCCCAUCCAGGAACUGACUUAGCACAAGAAGACAGCUUCAAUUCCCUAUAAUUUCAUCUCUGAUCCAACAAUUCAGCAUGCCUCCUACCUUAGCCCCCUGCCCUCCAAACUAUGUUUGAAGAACCCCUAACCUCCGAACCUUCAGAAAGACUGAUCUGAGUAAUAAUUCUGUCUCCUAUGUGGCAUGGCAGGCCUCGCAUCAAUUAAACUCUUUCUUUACUGCAA